Piliocolobus tephrosceles (Ugandan red Colobus) is the source of this 2640-nucleotide long non-coding RNA. Lineage: Eukaryota; Metazoa; Chordata; Mammalia; Primates; Cercopithecidae. The record is from Ensembl.
AUGCGACUUUUUUUACCAUAUGGCUGCUCUCCUUCUCAAAUAUUUUCAAAUGACUUGUCAAGUUCCCAUUUUCUAUUGAAAAUAAUAAAUGAUUAUGACCAAUUUGUUAGCCUAAUUUUAGAAAAUCUGCUUACGCAUGAACACUGCUUGAUUAAGCGCGUUAGAAAUAAAAGCAAUACUUCGUUUGGCAUAUUAAAUAGUAAAAGCGAAGGUUAUAACGAUGGUACUAGCCACACUCGUAACGGUUCGUGCAGAAAAUCAACACCAAACAAAACUCAUUACAUCGGUGAGCAAAACGAGCAGUUGAACACACACAGACGACUGUUCCAUUUUUUGCUUAAAAAAAAAUGUAUACCAAAAGAAUUAAAAAAAAAAAUAACAUUUGACACUCUAGUUGCGACUGUAUUAGUGUAUAAAGACUUUUAUUUACGUUCCUUACAAAAUAGUAAUUUUUUUUUUUUAUCGACUGAACAUGUUCAGCUGUUAAAAAUCAUUUAUCAUUUAUAUUUCAAAACAGAAAAAGGAGAUAAUUUAAAAAAAAAAAAAAAAAAAAAAAACUUUUUAUCAAAAUAUGAAACAAUACUUAACAACACAUGUUACAUAAUCAAACUGUUUAAUAGUAUAGUGCCUUAUAAUAAAAAAUAUAAACACAAAUGUGACUUUCCGAAAGUAAACACUGUUGGUAGUAUUAAAAAAGUAAGAGUUAAACAAACGAACAAACAAUGGCUAAUAAAUAUAGAAACUUCAAUUUUAAACAUUUUGAAAUUGGUAUACUCUAAAAAGGAUGCGAAACGAAAACAAAUACGAAUGCAUAAUGAUGCUCAUAAUAGUAUAACAAACGGACAUAGUGGACGAAUGAACUCUAUUGUUAUAGACUUGCCUAUCGAAGAAGAUACUUUUAAAAAUAAAAAGCAGCUACAUAUUUCUCGUUCUAGUGAUAAUAAAUUAAGUAGUACUGUAGAUAUAAUAUAUAUACACCCUUUGUAUAUUCCAAAACAAGAAAACAUAUUUAAUUACAUGAGCACGUUUGAAGAAGAAGUGUGUUUUUUUUAUAAAAACAGUGCUACAUUGCGAGUAUUAGUUAAGCACUUGUUUUAUUUGUGUUUUUUGUUCCCUACUUUAGCUAUAUAUUUGUUCAGGGUGUUAUGCAUAAAUAAAAAAUUUUUUAAUUUUUUGUUAGAGCUGUUUGUGCUGACUGAUAGGAAAAGCAUGUGCAGACCCACUAGUCACACUACAAAUACAGCUAUUUACCCGAAUACCAUACAAAGCAGUAAUAACGACGUUAAAUAUAUAUGCAACACCUCAAACGCUAGCAACACUUCAAACGCUAGCAACACCUCAAACGCUAGCAACACCUCAAACGCUAGCAACACCUCAAACGCUAGCAACACUUCAAACGCUAGCAACACAGAACGAACAACAAAAGUGGUCUCGAACGAAACGUGUCAAGAGUUAAGCCAAUUAUAUAUAAAAAAAAAAAAUAACAAAUUAAUGAAAAAAUGUUAUAUAGUAUUUUUUGAGGUAUAUUAUUAUAUAUUAAAUAUUUAUAUUAAUGUACUAUUGGAAAAAUUAAAAACAAACGAACUGAUAGAUUAUUAUAAUUUUAUUUAUUUAUUUAAAUGUAUUAAUUUAUUUAUCAAUAAUAUAUUUGUGUUAUCACUUUGUUCGACCGUUGUUAUUAUUCAUGGUGAAAAAAAAAUUGUAUCAGGGGUUGUACAACUAGCCGUAGGGGAUGAAAACGAAAAGGGUGCAGAACGAGCAGAACUAAUAACACGGACAGAACGAGCAGAACCAAUAGCACGGACAGAACGAGCAGAACCAAUAGCACGGACAGAACGAGCAGAACCAAUAGCACGGACAGAACCAAUAGCACCGACAGAACCAAUAGCACGGACAGAAAAACAAAACAGUCAUACAAAUAAAAAAAUAAAAUUUAUACAUAAACAAAACAAAGUUUUUUUGUCUAAAAAAAUGUCAAAAACAUUUUAUUUAGCUCAUAAUAUUUUAAUAAAUGUAUAUCAUUUUAUAAUUAUUUUGGUUUUUUAUUAUAAUAGACAUGAAUGGGUGUUACAUUUUUAUAAAAACGAGAGUUUGUGGAAAGUGCUGGGGGAGUCUAACAAGAGCACUGGCGAUGUUUUCAGUCGCAGUUAUAGCCACAGCAGCAGUAAAGAAAAUAACAGUGAAGAAAGCAAUUACGAUGGUAAAACCUUGUCGUUUGUAAAUUACUUCCACGACCAACAGAAUAAGGCAAAACUGUUAACAAUAAAUGGUGUCACUUUAUAUAUGUUUAUCGAUUACGAACUAGUUAAGAAAAUUUUUUAUUUUUAUAUAAACAUGAUAAAAAAUAAUAAAAAAAAAGGAAAACAGAGCGAGACCAACCGAAUGGGUAUAAAUUAUAAUCUCGAUUGUAAUAAUAGAAGUAUCAUAUAUGAAUUACUUAUAUCAACAAAUACUUUUUAUUGCAAAAAUAACAAUCAAAUUUUUAACAUUUUUUUACAUUUAUAUAACUAUGUGGACGACAUAUAUACAAAAGAAAUGAAAAAAUACAUUAUAUUUAAUCAAAUUCAGGAGAAUAAAGAUACGCAGUUGACUUUUUAUAUUAACAAUUCGCGUAUUAUGGGUAUUCAUUUUUUAAAGUAA